AAAAAAUUAUUUCCCCGAAGUAACGUCUUCUUAGAUCUUAUCCGGAGAUAAAGAGCGAAAAGAGAGAACACAAACGCGGCGGUAACGAACGAAGAGCGGCGAAUAAAAGAACUGAAGCGGAGGAAAAGAAACUAAAAGGCGUUUGGAGCAGUUGUAUGAUCGUGUCUGUGGUGAUUAACGUUUAACGCUUCUUUAAAAAAGUAGCGAGAAUUAAAGGUGCUUGGCUUGGCACGCCAACAUUCAUCAUUACUGUUUAACGUAUGACUAUCAAAUAUUAAAAAAUGCGUAACAAUAGUACAAACGCAUUGACUUGAAUGGAGCGAUCAAGUCUUAUCAGUGGAUCACUUGGUUCGUAGAUCGAUGAAAAACGGAGCGAAAACCGUUAUAUAGCGUGAAUUGCAGACAUAUUGAACGCUAAGAUUUUGAAUGCAAAUGGCACAAACAGGUUUAUAUCUGUUCGUAUGUCUCAUUGAGGGUCGAUUAAUUGGUUAACGGCGAAAGGCAUUAAAUGCUUUUUCGACUAGCUAACUGCUUCCCACUGCAGUUACAUAUUCGGUAUGGUGUUGUUGUUUAUUAGUCAAAUGAGCUUAAUUACUAUUGGAUCAAAUCUUUGCAUAAGGUAUUAUUUUCGAUUGUCACACAUUGU
This 646-nucleotide ribosomal RNA is filed under the name Steinernema sp. Pak.S.S.130. RNAcentral describes it as "eukaryotic LSU rRNA". The stretch from base 326 to 479 matches the Rfam family "5.8S ribosomal RNA". The record is from RNAcentral. Lineage: Eukaryota; Metazoa; Nematoda; Chromadorea; Rhabditida; Steinernematidae.